This 213-nucleotide unclassified non-coding RNA is filed under the name Hevea brasiliensis (rubber tree). Lineage: Eukaryota; Viridiplantae; Streptophyta; Magnoliopsida; Malpighiales; Euphorbiaceae. The record is from RNAcentral.
AAACUCUGCAUGGAAUGGAAACCCUCAAAAUCAGAACACAAAGCCUGCAAUCUCCAAAACCCCAAUUCAUGAACUCACUCUUUUCAAGGCUCAAACCCAAUUUCUCUUCAAUCCCCUCUCUAUCUUGCCUAAAACCCUUUUGCACGACCAAUCCUUUAACUUCAUCUCAUGCCUUGAGAACAAGCAGCAGCAGUAAUAGUAGUGCUUCAGGGG